This 298-nucleotide ribosomal RNA is filed under the name uncultured bacterium. Its description in RNAcentral is "partial 16S ribosomal RNA". It matches the Rfam family "Bacterial small subunit ribosomal RNA", at positions 475 to 776 of the family's 1533-position model. The record is from RNAcentral.
CUAUGCGCCUUGCCAGCCCGCUCAGGUGUGCCAGCAGCCGCGGUAAUACGUAGGGGGCAAGCGUUAUCCGGAUUUACUGGGUGUAAAGGGAGCGUAGACGGCAGCGCAAGUCUGGAGUGAAAUGCCGGGCCCAACCCCGGAACUGCUUUGGAAACUGUGCAGCUCGAGUGCAGGAGAGGUAAGCGGAAUUCCUAGUGUAGCGGUGAAAUGCGUAGAUAUUAGGAGGAACACCAGUGGCGAAGGCGGCUUACUGGACUGUAACUGACGUUGAGGCUCGAAAGCGUGGGGAGCAAACAGG